Molecule: ribosomal RNA, 547 nt
Filed under: uncultured eukaryote
Lineage: Eukaryota
Description: SSU rRNA
Rfam family: Eukaryotic small subunit ribosomal RNA
Source: RNAcentral
UGUAGUCAUAUGCUUGUCUCAAAGAUUAAGCCAUGCAUGUCUAAGUAUAAGCAAUUAUACAGCGAAACUGCGAAUGGCUCACUAUAUAAGUUAUCGUUUAUUUGAUAGUACCUUACUACUUGGAUAACCGUGGUAAUUCUAGAGCUAAUACAUGCUAAAAAUCCCGACUUCGGAAGGGAUGUAUUUAUUAGAUUAAAAACCAAUGCCCUUCGGGGCUCCUUGGUGAUUCAUGAUAACUUCUCGAAUCGCAUGGCCUUGUGCCGGCGAUGGUUCAUUCAAAUUUCUUCCCUAUCAACUUUCGAUGUUUGGGUAUUGGCCAAACAUGGUUGCAACGGGUAACGGAGGGUUAGGGCUCGACCCCGGAGAAGGAGCCUGAGAAACGGCUACUACAUCCAAGGAAGGCAGCAGGCGCGCAAAUUACCCAAUCCCGACACGGGGAGGUAGUGACAAUAAAUACUGAUACAGGGCUCUUUUGGGUCUUGUAAUUGGAAUGAGUACAAUUUAAAUCCCUUAACGAGGAACAAUUGGAGGGCAAGUCUGGUAAUCG